RNAcentral lists this ribosomal RNA (688 nucleotides) under bacterium enrichment culture clone PF-1_60. Its description in RNAcentral is "bacterial SSU rRNA". It matches the Rfam family "Bacterial small subunit ribosomal RNA", at positions 809 to 1502 of the family's 1533-position model. The record is from RNAcentral.
AUGUCAACUGGUUGUCGGGUCUUCAUUGACUUGGUAACGUAGCUAACGCGUGAAGUUGACCGCCUGGGGAGUACGGUCGCAAGAUUAAAACUCAAAGGAAUUGACGGGGACCCGCACAAGCGGUGGAUGAUGUGGAUUAAUUCGAUGCAACGCGAAAAACCUUACCUACCCUUGACAUGUACGGAAUCCUGCUGAGAGGUGGGAGUGCCCGAAAGGGAGCCGUAACACAGGUGCUGCAUGGCUGUCGUCAGCUCGUGUCGUGAGAUGUUGGGUUAAGUCCCGCAACGAGCGCAACCCUUGUCCCUAGUUGCUACGCAAGAGCACUCCAGGGAGACUGCCGGUGACAAACCGGAGGAAGGUGGGGAUGACGUCAAGUCCUCAUGGCCCUUAUGGGUAGGGCUUCACACGUCAUACAAUGGUCGGAACAGAGGGUUGCCAAGCCGCGAGGUGGAGCCAAUCCCAGAAAACCGAUCGUAGUCCGGAUCGCAGUCUGCAACUCGACUGCGUGAAGCUGGAAUCGCUAGUAAUCGCGGAUCAGCAUGCCGCGGUGAAUANNNUCCCGGGUCUUGUACACACCGCCCGUCACACCAUGGGAGUGGGUUUUGCCAGAAGUGGCUAGUCUAACCGCAAGGAGGACGGUCACCACGGCAGGAUUCAUGACUGGGGUGAAGUCGUAACAAGGUAACCA